AGACGUCUACAUUAGAUACCCGCGUAGUCCCAGCCGUAAACUAUGCGCGUUAGGUGUAUCGGUGACCACGAGUCACCGAGGUGCCGAAGGGAAACCGUGAAACGUGCCGCCUGGGAAGUACGGUCGCAAGGCUGAAACUUAAAGGAAUUGGCGGGGAGCACCACAACGGGUGGAGCCUGCGGUUUAAUUGGACUCAACGCCGGGAAGCUCACCGGAUAAGACAGCGGAAUGAUUGCCGGGCUGAAGACUCUGCAUGACUAGCUG
RNAcentral lists this ribosomal RNA (264 nucleotides) under uncultured archaeon. RNAcentral's name for it is "partial 16S ribosomal RNA". It matches the Rfam family "Archaeal small subunit ribosomal RNA", at positions 717 to 982 of the family's 1478-position model. The record is from RNAcentral.